CCGCGCCGCCGGAUAACCGUAGUAAUUCUAGGGCUAAUACGUGCGAAGCGCCCGAAGCCGCGAGGCGACGGGCGUUCUCGCCGGAUGUAGGAACCGACCCGGGGACCGCCGGGGCAACCCGGCGCCCCCGAGACGGGGCGAACCACGGUGAAAUGACGGAUCGUCGGCCCCGCGCCGGCGACUCGCCGAAUGAGUUUCUGACCUAUCAACUCGAGACGGCGGGGUAGAGGCCCGCCGCGGUAACGACGGGUAACGGGGAAUCAGGGUUCGAUUCCGGAGAGGGAGCCCGAGAAACGGCUACCACUUCCAAGGAAGGCAGCAGGCGCGCAACUUACCCUAAUCUCGAUUCGAGGAGGUAGUGACAAGAAAUACCGAUGCGGGACCCUACGGGUGCCGCGUUCGGAAUGAGUACGAUUCGAACCACCUAACGAGGAACGAUCGGAGGGCAAGUCUGGUGCCAGCAGCCGCGGUAA
RNAcentral lists this ribosomal RNA (473 nucleotides) under uncultured eukaryote. RNAcentral describes it as "bacterial SSU rRNA". It matches the Rfam family "Eukaryotic small subunit ribosomal RNA", at positions 131 to 582 of the family's 1831-position model. The record is from RNAcentral.